Long non-coding RNA from Vidua chalybeata, 211 nucleotides. RefSeq lists it as uncharacterized. The record is from RefSeq and is a predicted model, not a curated record. Lineage: Eukaryota; Metazoa; Chordata; Aves; Passeriformes; Viduidae. The transcript is spliced from 2 exons.
GGAGAACAUCCAGAAAACUUCACAAGCAAACAGGACAUAUUUGCUCAUGCACCACAUAUGCAAAUGUCAGAAGAGAAGUUUUUAGGGUCAAGUGAUAAGCAAAGCUGUAAAAGGAGAACUCAAACCUGACCCCCACCGUUGCAGAAAAAAUUAAUUCAGUCAUUCCAUCAGAGUUUUCUUGUUUCCAGCAAAAUAAAACUGGUGAGAUUCC